RNAcentral lists this long non-coding RNA (322 nucleotides) under Gallus gallus (chicken). The record is from RNAcentral. Lineage: Eukaryota; Metazoa; Chordata; Aves; Galliformes; Phasianidae.
AGCAAUAACAGUUGUCUUUCAAAUAAACAUCUGGAAAACCAGAGGUAAUGUUGAUUCAGACACUGGCAGAACUUGGAAAGACUGUUAAUGAUUUGAAAAGAAGAAAAUCCAGUCUAUGUUAUAGGAGGUGACUCUCCGGUAGAGGAAGAUAAAGCCUUGCUUUCUUGUUGGGCAUCGUGGGGGGACUUGGCUUUGGCAGAUAUCCCCAACACAAAGGACACCGUAUUUUUGGGUAGAGGACUUGUGCUCUCAGUCUCCUGGUGCUCGUGUGCCUAGAGGAAGGAGAAGCCUGAGCCAGCAAUGGGGCUGCGCUUUGCAAUUG